GGUGAGAGGGCUCUUGCCCAUAUAAUUGAAGACAUCCUUUGUGGUGUAGUAUUAUAAUAGCAAAUAUAUUAGGUUAUAUUUAGAGGAGACUGAAAGAGACUAAUUAAUAUAUUUACUAUGAGCAGUUUAAUGUUGUAUGAGUUCUAAUUGGGUUGAUAGAUAAUGUAACUAUGAGCUUGUAAUGAUGAUUUAUUUAUUAAUGAUAGUAGAAGAUGGCAUAACCGUGGAUGUAACCCUAUAUUUAGCGGGUGAACCACGUAAAUAUUGGUG
Molecule: unclassified non-coding RNA, 270 nt
Filed under: Hevea brasiliensis (rubber tree)
Lineage: Eukaryota; Viridiplantae; Streptophyta; Magnoliopsida; Malpighiales; Euphorbiaceae
Source: RNAcentral